UCAGUUUUAUUGUCCUUUGUUUUUUAUUUUUUUUUAUUUCUUUUUCUAACAAGUUCUUUCUUCCUCUUUUUUAUUUUUCUUUCUGAAAAUUUUCACUUUAUUUUUUGUUUUUCAAAAUCAAUUUCUACUAUACAUCAGUUAACAUGUUUAAGUUCAGUUUCAUUCGUUCAAGUUUUGAUUUAAAGUGUUACUUUUUAAAAUAUUUAAAUUCACUUGGCUUGUGUUUAGACCAUUUUUUGUUUGGUCAAUUAAGAAAAAUAACUCUAUCAAUUAGUUACUAAUGAA
This 285-nucleotide long non-coding RNA is filed under the name Vigna radiata. RNAcentral's name for it is "long non-coding RNA (VRAD_LNC013772)". The record is from RNAcentral. Lineage: Eukaryota; Viridiplantae; Streptophyta; Magnoliopsida; Fabales; Fabaceae.